GCGAGCCUGGCCGAGCGGUUAGGCGGCGCCCUUCCAAGGCGUAGAGGCGGGUCCGACUCCCGCGGCUCGCUCCA
This 74-nucleotide transfer RNA is filed under the name Variovorax sp. RA8. RNAcentral's name for it is "tRNA-Gly". It matches the Rfam family "tRNA". Rfam says of the family: Transfer RNA (tRNA) molecules are approximately 80 nucleotides in length. Their secondary structure includes four short double-helical elements and three loops (D, anti-codon, and T loops). Lineage: Bacteria; Pseudomonadati; Pseudomonadota; Betaproteobacteria; Burkholderiales; Comamonadaceae. The record is from RNAcentral.